AUUUGAACUCCUAUGACUGGUUGCGGACUUGAAGGGAACAACUUCCUGGCUUUCCUGACAUCCAGGAAAAAGUUUUAUUGGACAGUAGAGAUCUACUGGAAACAGUGGAGAGGGAGGAGAUGAUAUGCAGCAAAAGGCCCAGCCGGAUGGUUGCUGCUCCGUGUGGAACGUGUUCUAUAAGAAAGGAUCAUGCCAGCCCACAUCAAACACCGGAUCAAGA
Molecule: long non-coding RNA, 220 nt
Organism: Notothenia coriiceps (black rockcod)
Lineage: Eukaryota; Metazoa; Chordata; Actinopteri; Perciformes; Nototheniidae
Exons: 3
Source: RefSeq, a predicted model, not a curated record